UACGGAGGAUCCAAGCGUUAUCCGGAUUUAUUGGGCUUAAAGGGCUCGUAGGCGGCCAACUAAGUCAUACGUGAAAUCCCUCAGCUUAACUGGGGAACUGCGUGUGAUACUGGAUGGCUUGGAUUUGGGAGAGGGAUGCGGAAUUCCAGGUGUAGCGGUGAAGUGCGUAGAUAUCUGGAGGAACACCGGUGGCGAAGGCUGCAUCCUGGACCAAUAUUGACGCUGAGGAGCGAAAGCCAGGGGAGCAAACGGG
This 253-nucleotide ribosomal RNA is filed under the name uncultured bacterium. RNAcentral's name for it is "partial 16S ribosomal RNA". It matches the Rfam family "Bacterial small subunit ribosomal RNA", at positions 524 to 776 of the family's 1533-position model. The record is from RNAcentral.